RNAcentral lists this transfer RNA (73 nucleotides) under Camelus bactrianus (Bactrian camel). It matches the Rfam family "tRNA". Rfam says of the family: Transfer RNA (tRNA) molecules are approximately 80 nucleotides in length. Their secondary structure includes four short double-helical elements and three loops (D, anti-codon, and T loops). The record is from Rfam by way of RNAcentral. Lineage: Eukaryota; Metazoa; Chordata; Mammalia; Artiodactyla; Camelidae. RNAcentral also lists the same sequence under 2 other names.
GAGGGUAUAGCUCAAGUGGUAGAGCACAUGAUUAGCAUGCAUGACGUCCUGGGUUCAGACCCCAGUACCUCCG